This 253-nucleotide ribosomal RNA is filed under the name uncultured prokaryote. Its description in RNAcentral is "partial 16S ribosomal RNA". It matches the Rfam family "Bacterial small subunit ribosomal RNA", at positions 525 to 777 of the family's 1533-position model. The record is from RNAcentral.
ACGGAGGGGGCUAGCGUUGUUCGGAAUUACUGGGCGUAAAGCGCACGUAGGCGGCUUUGUAAGUUAGAGGUGAAAGCCCAGGGCUUAACCCUGGAAUUGCCUUUAAGACUGCAUCGCUAGAAUCGUGGAGAGGUGAGUGGAAUUCCGAGUGUAGAGGUGAAAUUCGUAGAUAUUCGGAAGAACACCGGUGGCGAAGGCGGCUCACUGGCUCGUUUCUGACGCUCAGGCACGACAGCGUGGGGAUCGAACAGGA